UCGACCUCGGAUCAGGUAGGGAUACCCGCUGAACUUAAGCAUAUCAAUAAGC
Molecule: ribosomal RNA, 52 nt
Filed under: Umbilicaria hyperborea
Lineage: Eukaryota; Fungi; Ascomycota; Lecanoromycetes; Umbilicariales; Umbilicariaceae
Description: partial 26S ribosomal RNA
Source: RNAcentral